This 413-nucleotide ribosomal RNA is filed under the name uncultured microorganism. RNAcentral describes it as "bacterial SSU rRNA". It matches the Rfam family "Archaeal small subunit ribosomal RNA", at positions 330 to 745 of the family's 1478-position model. The record is from RNAcentral.
GUGCAGCAGUCGAGAAACCUCCGCAAUGCGCGAAAGCGCGACGGGGCCACCCCGAGUGCCGCCCGCUGAGGGCGGCUUUUCCCCGGUGUAGACAGCCGGGGGAAUAAGGGGAGGGCAAGUCUGGUGUCAGCCGCCGCGGUAAUACCAGCUCCCCGAGUGGUGGGGACGAUUAUUGGGCCUAAAGCGUCCGUAGCCGGCCCGGCAAGUCUCCCGUUAAAUCCAGCGAUCUAAUCGCUGGACUGCGGGAGAUACUGUCGGGCUAGGGGGCGGGAGAGGCCGGCGGUAUUCCCGGGGUAGGGGUGAAAUCCUAUAAUCCCGGGAGGACCACCAGUGGCGAAGGCUGCCGGCUGGAACGCGCCCGACGGUGAGGGACGAAAGCCGGGGGAGCGAACCGGAUUAGAUACCCGUGUAGU